This 443-nucleotide ribosomal RNA is filed under the name Pediococcus acidilactici. RNAcentral describes it as "bacterial SSU rRNA". It matches the Rfam family "Bacterial small subunit ribosomal RNA", at positions 46 to 478 of the family's 1533-position model. Lineage: Bacteria; Bacillati; Bacillota; Bacilli; Lactobacillales; Lactobacillaceae. The record is from RNAcentral.
GAUCAUGACGUGCUUGCACUGAAUGAGAUGUUAACACGAAGUGAGUGGCGGACGGGUGAGUAACACGUGGGUAACCUGCCCAGAAGCAGGGGAUAACACCUGGAAACAGAUGCUAAUACCGUAUAACAGAGAAAACCGCCUGGUUUUCUUUUAAAAGAUGGCUCUGCUAUCACUUCAUGGAUGGACCCGCGGCGCAUUAUGCUAGUUGGUGAGGUAACGGCUCACCAAGGCGAUGAUGCGUAGCCGACCUGAGAGGGUAAUCGGCCACAUUGGGACUGAGACACGGCCCAGACUCCUACGGGAGGCAGCAGUAUGGGAAUCUUCCACAAUGGACGCAAGUCUGAUGGAGCAACGCCGCGUGAGUGAAGAAGGGUCUCGGCUCGUAAAGCUCUGUUGUUAAAGAAGAACGUGGGUGAGAGUAACUGUUCACCCAGUGACGGUAU